Molecule: ribosomal RNA, 356 nt
Filed under: uncultured bacterium
Lineage: Bacteria
Description: bacterial SSU rRNA
Rfam family: Bacterial small subunit ribosomal RNA
Source: RNAcentral
AGCGAACGCUGGCGGCAGGCUUAACACAUGCAAGUCGAGCGGGCGUAGCAAUACGUCAGCGGCAGACGGGUGAGUAACGCGUGGGAACGUACCUUUUGGUUCGGAACAACACAGGGAAACUUGUGCUAAUACCGGAUAAGCCCUUACGGGGAAAGAUUUAUCGCCAAAAGAUCGGCCCGCGUCUGAUUAGCUAGUUGGUGAGGUAACGGCUCACCAAGGCGACGAUCAGUAGCUGGUCNGAGAGGAUGAUCAGCCACAUUGGGACUGAGACACGGCCCAAACUCCUACGGGAGGCAGCAGUGGGGAAUAUUGGACAAUGGGCGCAAGCCUGAUCCAGCCAUGCCGCGUGAGUGAAG